RNAcentral lists this non-coding RNA (26 nucleotides) under Homo sapiens (human). Lineage: Eukaryota; Metazoa; Chordata; Mammalia; Primates; Hominidae. The record is from RNAcentral.
UGGUGAGGUUGAUGUUUCCUGGUGUU